RNAcentral lists this ribosomal RNA (448 nucleotides) under uncultured bacterium. Its description in RNAcentral is "bacterial SSU rRNA". It matches the Rfam family "Bacterial small subunit ribosomal RNA", at positions 64 to 507 of the family's 1533-position model. The record is from RNAcentral.
GAACGGCAGCACGGGAGCAAUCCUGGUGGCGAGUGGCGAACGGGUGAGUAAUACAUCGGAACGUGUCCUGUAGUGGGGGAUAGCCCGGCGAAAGCCGGAUUAAUACCGCAUACGAUCUACGGAUGAAAGCGGGGGACCUUCGGGCCUCGCGCUAUAGGGGCGGCCGAUGGCGGAUUAGCUAGUUGGUGGGGUAAAGGCCUACCAAGGCGACGAUCCGUAGCUGGUCUGAGAGGACGAUCAGCCACACUGGGACUGAGACACGGCCCAGACUCCUACGGGAGGCAGCAGUGGGGAAUUUCGGACAAUGGGCGAAAGCCUGAUCCAGCAAUGCCGCGUGUGUGAAGAAGGCCUUCGGGUUGUAAAGCACUUUUGUCCGGAAAGAAAACGUUCUAGCUAAUAUCUGGAGCGGAUGACGGUACCGGAAGAAUAAGCACCGGCUAACUACGUG